AACGACCGUCCUCGAGGAAUGAUCAAAGGACAGAAUGAUAUCAAAUACUCACUGGAACCGUUGCUUGCAUUCACUCCAAAUGCUGAAAAAAAUUUUGGCUACCACUCUCAGGAGUCACCGUUGGAAAAAACGGAAGUUGACUUGAUUUCGCCAAGAAUGGACAAAAUUGUCACAGAACUGAAUGAACAUGCCAACAAAAACAUUGAAACUCGAUCAUUGGAAACAGAGUGCCAUUCUGAAAGUGAUGACCUCAAUGAUGUAGAUAACCUUCUACCAAGCAAGCAUGAACUUACUAUCUCUCGCUUGGCUGAGGAGAAUAAGAUCCUGAAGUCUAAGUAUGAAUUUAUCAGAGAACAAAAUGAAAAGUUGGAAACUCUGAAUGCUAAAUUCUCGUCGGCUAAUCUUCACCUAGGGAAAAAAUUGAGGGCUUAGUGACUGAAAAUCAAUUGUUACAAGAUUGCGUCGAAAAUUUAGAAAUGAAGCUAAGCAUGCACGGUGAUUUGGUAAGGGAACUUGAUCAACUGCGCCUUCAAGUUGCAAAAGGGAGGGAAAGUGCCAAAGAUUCCAAAAAUCUUCAGCAAAUUGUGAAAACUGUCACAAGUCAGAGAGAUGCUCUGAAGGUUCAGCUUUUGCAGCAACAGGAGUUGGCAGAAAACUCUUUAGAACAAAAAUCAAAUGAACUGUCAAAGCAAGAAGAAAUGCGUGACGAGCUGUUAGUUUAUAUAAAUCAACUUGAAUCUGACAUUGAUAUUCUUAAGAAUCAAGUUUUUGUCCUCUCGAACACCAAGGAAUUCUAUCGAAAGUGCUGCUCUAUGAAACUAGAACAUCUUGAUCAAAAGUUGCUUGAAGCAGAAUCUUUGAAGUGCCUUCUAUCAGACAUGAGAUUCAACCCAGCUCUCAGAAAUGUCAAAAUGACGCUCCAUGUGGUUGAAUAUUUCCAGGAAGCUAACGUUCCACCUAGCCAAAUCAAUCUUGUGAUGAAUAUUAUUCGUACUGCAUUGUGUCGGCUGUCAAGAGAAAUGGAUGAUCUCUAUCAAACUUUGUACAAAGCUUUUGACAAUGGUGAUCCCUGUCAUAAAAACUUUCCAGAUCCACCUCGCCAAACUUUUUCAGAUUCUGAUAUAUUUGGGAAAAAUUUAACAAUCGACUCAAGAAAAUCUCACUUUUUCACCCCCAAGAAAAUGCUGAUGGAACUUUGCCCCGAUGAUAAACCACUAGUGGAAAAAUUGUUUUCAUCAAAAUUAAUUCAAGAAGACGAAGGUUUAACCGAUGAAAGUAUGUCAAAACAAUCAUGGCUUGAUGAACUUGAAAUUGAAAACCAAAGAUUAAAAAUAAUUUUAUCAAAUACAAAUAAAGAGGUCGAGCAGUUGAAUGGCAUUCUAUCUGAAAAUAGGAAAACUUUGGAAAAUUACCAAAAUUGUACUGGUGAGUUGAAAAGAGAAAUUGAAACUCUAAACAAAAUGCAUGGGACAAUGAGUGUCAACUGUUGCAAUCAAAUCAUAAGUACCUUCUCAAUUGCAGAUGAAUGUAUGUGGAAAUCAAUUGAAUCCUCUGACAGCCCUUAUAUAGGAUCUCAGAAUCAUUCUAUAUCAAAUGAAAAACAGAACGUUGGUUCAUUGAGUGAGCAAUUCUUGGUGGAAAAAUCCAAAAAUGAACUAUCAAGAAGAUGUCCUCUGCAUGUUUGUGUAGAUGAAGUCUCGAAGACCAUGACUCAGGAAUCAUCAGUCUCUCUAAGUUUGACAGAGGAUCUGUGCUCCAUUCUCCGAAAACUUGGAAAUUUCCCUACACUCCAUCAAAUUUUCUGUAGAUAUUAUCCUAUUUUAAGAAACUUGUUUCUAAAUUUUCAAAUCAAGAUUGAGCCCAAACAAAAACCAACAAAUGACAUGGUGAUUAUUGUUCAUUUAGAGGACCUUGAAAAUCAAGAAUUUUCCAAUUUAUUCCAAAAAAUUAUCCAGGUGCACAGCCUAGGUGACUUUCAAAAUUUUUUAGCAAAUCCUCUCAAGAAAAUUAUUUAUGUACUUUUACACCAGUGA
This 2033-nucleotide long non-coding RNA is filed under the name Bemisia tabaci. RNAcentral's name for it is "lncRNA ENSASIAIIG000973". Lineage: Eukaryota; Metazoa; Arthropoda; Insecta; Hemiptera; Aleyrodidae. The record is from RNAcentral.